Molecule: ribosomal RNA, 393 nt
Filed under: Caespitella pascheri
Lineage: Eukaryota; Viridiplantae; Chlorophyta; Chlorophyceae; Chaetophorales; Aphanochaetaceae
Description: SSU rRNA
Rfam family: Eukaryotic small subunit ribosomal RNA
Source: RNAcentral
CUCGUAGUUGGANUUCGGGUGGCUCUCUGCGGUCCGCCUUCGGGUGUGUACUGCUGUCGGCCACCUUUCUGUCGGGGACGGGCUCCUGGGCUUAACUGUCCGGGACUCGGAGUCGGCGAGGUUACUUUGAGUAAAUUAGAGUGUUCAAAGCAAGCCUGAGCUCUGAAUACAUUAGCAUGGAAUAACGCGAUAGGACUCUGGCCUAUCUUGUUGGUCUGUAGGACCGGAGUAAUGAUUAAGAGGGACAGUCGGGGGCAUUCGUAUUUCAUUGUCAGAGGUGAAAUUCUUGGAUUUAUGAAAGACGAACUUCUGCGAAAGCAUUUGCCAAGUAUGUCUUCAUUAAUCAAGAACGAAAGUUGGGGGCUCGAAGACGAUUAGAUANNNNCGUAGUCA